This 204-nucleotide long non-coding RNA is filed under the name Elaeis guineensis (African oil palm). Its description in RNAcentral is "long non-coding RNA (EGUI_LNC021150)". The record is from RNAcentral. Lineage: Eukaryota; Viridiplantae; Streptophyta; Magnoliopsida; Arecales; Arecaceae.
GACCUGAUCUAAUUAUCUAUUGGAAUAGGUCCAAGUUGCUCAUACAUAAAAAUAAAGUAGGAUCAGGGUUAAACAUAUUUGGUCUGACUCAAUUUGGUUAGUAUCCUUACAAUUAGGGAUGGUAAUUUUUUUCAAUCCGGUAGGUACCUGGCUCGACCUGAUCCGAAUGGGAUGGAUUUUAUCUGACCUAAUUAAAAUGCAAGA